RNAcentral lists this long non-coding RNA (1660 nucleotides) under Bactrocera tryoni. RNAcentral's name for it is "uncharacterized LOC120766251, transcript variant X2". Lineage: Eukaryota; Metazoa; Arthropoda; Insecta; Diptera; Tephritidae. The record is from RNAcentral.
CAGGAUUCAUGCGGGUUUCAUAUUGUCAACCGAAUAUCGCAUUUAUUUUGUGAAUAAAUAUUCUUAAUAAUUAAAUGGCUUGACAGACGGACACGUUGAAAGUAGCGAAAACAAUUUGAUGGAAAUUAAAGGUGAAGUGUUUUGUGAGCAAAGUGAAAAUCUAACAAAAAGCUAUCAAGUGAUAGCAACAACUACGCGCAGGAAACCAAAAAGUGCAACAACAACAACAAGAAAUAAUGGCAAACGUAUGGUCACAGAAAGCGUCGUGAACAAGUGAGCUCAGUACAAAAACACGCAGAGCGUGAAGUGAGUAGACGCCGAGUACGAACGGGAGAGUUUCACUGACAGUUUCAACACGUUACCUGCACGCACAAUAGUUCCACUUACCCACACACAGUUACCUAGACAAGUACAAUUGUAUGUAUGUGCAUACGAACAUUUUUAACUAAGCAUAUGCAACGACGACGCCGAACAACUCAAGCGACCACUCAAUCAUCCAGCCCACCUAGCAAAGUGCGAAGAGACUUGUGAAACUGUCGCGCCCAGUCAAGCAGUCAAGCAGCCAAGCAGUCAAACACCGACCCAAAGCAUUUCGUCAUAAUUGCUGUCGCCCUGUAGAGUAGCAGUGCCGCCUGUCGGCCCGUCAAACCUACCGACCGCCCCACUGACGGCCUCACCAGCUGGUUUAGGGCACGACUCGUCAGUCGUCGGCCGCCGUGCGACACCGUCUGUCGCCGCUAAUACUUGCAAGUAUAAAAGUCAGCAACAACGGUGACAUAAAGCAGUGCGAAACCCACCACAAACACGCCAGCUGAGCGGCAGCCGAGCAAGCUGUAGCAGCAGCAGUGGAUUUAACGCUGACGCUUAGCAUUCAUAGGAAGCCCUAGAAAGGCAACUCACACACGUGUUGUGUGCUUUGUAUUUCUCGCCUUCGUUUUCAUUGAAAGGACUCUCGCCGUGGCCACACAUACUCAACGCGUACACGUUGGCAGCACAGGCAGUGUUUCGUUUCCGUUGCGAGUGUCGACCCUUAUCAACAAUCGAACAGCACAGCGGGCAAUAAAUAGCCAAGCAGCCAAGCGGCCAAGUGAGCAGCUCGCCCACAAAGGUAGCAGCGCGCAGCGAAAAGCCCAGACGGACGACACAUUUAAGCGGCUCAGGCGAAAAGCCAAAGCUACCGGAUAUCAUGUCCUUGCCUAUUGACUGGCAAGUGGUCUCAACUUAACUCAUUCGUUGACUUUUCGCUCAGUCGGCGGCAUGAGACGCACUCAAAGCCAAAGCAUAAAUGAUGAAUUUCAACAGAAAACUUACGAAAGUCACAAUAAAGUGGUCUGCUGUACGCUCUUCGUGAGAAUGACAGUCGUUUUAACUUGUCAAACUGUUGCAGAAAUUUCGGCGCAGCCUUGAAGUAUGCAAUGCGUGUGGUGAAGGAAAUCAAACUUGUUAAUCGCAGUCCUGCAGGCGUCUAGAUUUAGUAUGGAAAUCGGCAGCAAAAUAAAACAGUGCGAGCACAGUGAGAAACAGUAACAUUAAAGGAUGAGCGAAAAGUGGAUAUAGCCAAUAUAAUUUCGAAGAAUCGGUGCUUUAAUACAUAUAUUUGUUAAACCUGCUUUCAAAAUAAUUGAUUGUAAUUUUUAUUGUAUAUUUUUCUAAAAUAAAA